RNAcentral lists this ribosomal RNA (810 nucleotides) under Amesomyces nigricolor. RNAcentral describes it as "eukaryotic LSU rRNA". It matches the Rfam family "Eukaryotic large subunit ribosomal RNA", at positions 75 to 918 of the family's 3401-position model. Lineage: Eukaryota; Fungi; Ascomycota; Sordariomycetes; Sordariales; Chaetomiaceae. The record is from RNAcentral.
UUGCCCUAGUAACGGCGAAGUGAAGCGGCAACAGCUCAAAUUUGAAAUCUGGCUUCGGCCCGAGUUGUAAUUUGCAGAGGAAGCUUUAGGCGCGGCACCUUCUGAGUCCCCUGGAACGGGGCGCCAUAGAGGGUGAGAGCCCCGUAUAGUUGGAUGCCUAGCCUGUGUAAAGCUCCUUCGACGAGUCGAGUAGUUUGGGAAUGCUGCUCAAAAUGGGAGGUAAAUUUCUUCUAAAGCUAAAUACCGGCCAGAGACCGAUAGCGCACAAGUAGAGUGAUCGAAAGAUGAAAAGCACUUUGAAAAGAGGGUUAAAUAGCACGUGAAAUUGUUGAAAGGGAAGCGCUUGUGACCAGACUUGCGCCGGGCUGAUCAUCCGGUGUUCUCACCGGUGCACUCUGCCCGGCUCAGGCCAGCAUCGGUUCUCGCGGGGGGAUAAAGGUUCCGGGAAUGUAGCUCCUCCGGGAGUGUUAUAGCCCGGGGCGUAAUGCCCUCGCGGGGACCGAGGUUCGCGCUCUGCAAGGAUGCUGGCGUAAUGGUCAUCAGCGACCCGUCUUGAAACACGGACCAAGGAGUCAAGGUUUUGCGCGAGUGUUUGGGUGUAAAACCCGCACGCGUAAUGAAAGUGAACGUAGGUGAGAGCUUCGGCGCAUCAUCGACCGAUCCUGAUGUUUUCGGAUGGAUUUGAGUAAGAGCGUUAAGCCUUGGACCCGAAAGAUGGUGAACUAUGCUUGGAUAGGGUGAAGCCAGAGGAAACUCUGGUGGAGGCUCGCAGCGGUUCUGACGUGCAAAUCGAUCGUCAAAUCUGAGCAU